GGCAAGGCGGUGGUAUCCUGACUCCGUUUGGCUGUUACCUCGAAAGGGGAAGACUCCGAUGCGUGCUGGAAGUGAUCAUCGCCACCGGGGGGAGACAAAGACGGCCGGGCGUGGUGCUGGCCCCAAGACCACCUCCCUCAUGCGUGUGCCACAGUGCCGGUGGCUGCACUUGCCCCUACAGUCUCUGGAGGCUACACGGGGGACAUUUGGCUUUGGCUGUUGAAGAAAAGUCAUCUUACAAGUGUGUGUGCUGAAGGUGGUGCAUCAGCCAGUCAUCUCGGUCAUCUCGGUCAGUCGACCCGUGGCACCUGCUGGGUCUGCCCCGUGACCUCCUGCCAGCGGGCGUUCGACACUUCACGUGGUAGCCUCAAGGUGCACAUGGCCUGGCACAAGCGUCGUGGUGACGUCAACGCUACUUAGUGGCGAAUGGCGGUUGUUGUUGUUGUGUGUGUGUUAAUGUGUGUCUGUGUGUAAGUGUGUGUGUUAGUGUGUUAGUGUGUGUCUGUGUGUGUAAGUAUGUGGGUGUAGGUAAGUGUGUUAGUGUGUAUGUUAGUGUGUCUGUGUGUGUGUGUCACU
Lethenteron reissneri (Far Eastern brook lamprey) is the source of this 576-nucleotide long non-coding RNA. RefSeq lists it as uncharacterized. The record is from RefSeq and is a predicted model, not a curated record. Lineage: Eukaryota; Metazoa; Chordata; Hyperoartia; Petromyzontiformes; Petromyzontidae.